RNAcentral lists this long non-coding RNA (447 nucleotides) under Pan troglodytes (chimpanzee). RNAcentral describes it as "lincRNA". The record is from RNAcentral. Lineage: Eukaryota; Metazoa; Chordata; Mammalia; Primates; Hominidae.
AUGGCCAUGCAUUUAUCUGGAGUCAAUGCUGAUUCUGACUGCAUGGCCACCUUUACCCUCAACUUCAUUGUAGCUGUGAAUGCUCCGUUCCUCUCCUUUUCACCCCUGAAGAUUCGCGAACAUGCAGGAUUGAGCUGUGCGAGGCAUAGCAUUCCCCACAUGGUAGACGAAGGCGGAUGUGGGUCUGAUGGCUCUACCGCCGUCCACCCGGGCGGAUGGACGUGUGUUCCGGGAUAUCAGAGCUUGCGGCUGACCAGCCCACAUGUCCACGCAGCCCUCCCGCUGGCUGUGUCGACAUUUUGGGUGUCACUGAAGGAUUUUACCGGUGCAGACUUUACAAAGGCAAAAUUGUUUCUCAAGGAAGUGGACAUGAAAGAUCUAAAAUCAGGGCUGCUUGAAAAAAGCAAGCACAGAUUAAUGACCUAUCUACAUCCUACACGGUUUUAG